RNAcentral lists this ribosomal RNA (490 nucleotides) under Diaporthe sp. Lc001. RNAcentral's name for it is "eukaryotic LSU rRNA". The stretch from base 176 to 329 matches the Rfam family "5.8S ribosomal RNA". The record is from RNAcentral. RNAcentral also lists the same sequence under 1 other name. Lineage: Eukaryota; Fungi; Ascomycota; Sordariomycetes; Diaporthales; Diaporthaceae.
CUGGAACGCGCCCCAGGCGCACCCAGAAACCCUUUGUGAACUUAUACCUUACUGUUGCCUCGGCGCAUGCCGGCCCCCCUGGGGGCCCCUCCUUCUGGAGGAGCAGGCACGCCGGCGGCCAACCCAACUCUUGUUUUUACACUGAAACUCUGAGAAUAAAACAUAAAUGAAUCAAAACUUUCAACAACGGAUCUCUUGGUUCUGGCAUCGAUGAAGAACGCAGCGAAAUGCGAUAAGUAAUGUGAAUUGCAGAAUUCAGUGAAUCAUCGAAUCUUUGAACGCACAUUGCGCCCUCUGGUAUUCCGGAGGGCAUGCCUGUUCGAGCGUCAUUUCAACCCUCAAGCCUGGCUUGGUGAUGGGGCACUGCCUGUAAAAGGGCAGGCCCUGAAAUUCAGUGGCGAGCUCGCCAGGACCCCGAGCGCAGUAGUUAAACCCUCGCUUUGGAAGGCCCUGGCGGUGCCCUGCCGUUAAACCCCCAACUUCUGAAAAU